CUUAGAACUCCCCCAACCUACCUAAUACUAACGUCUUUAUUGGAAUCUAGCACUCUACUUUAAACUGUCACUUUAAAAACUGUCACUUUAAAAAUUGCAGUUCCUGAGGGCUGGCACCGUGGCAUGGACAGAUUUUUUUUUUCUAGGCUGCUUUGUACUGAAGCUGAAAUGGUGUAAAGAUUAUGAAUGUGUGUGAAGCUCUCUCUUCUUGUUCCAAGACCUUUUCCUCUCCCCUCAGGCAAAGCCAUCUGUUCUUCUCAAAUUCUGUUAUCUUCUGUCACCAUGGAAAAGCCUGACACCGAGAAAAGGAAUCAGGAGCAUUGCUUUGAUUUUUGCAGUUCCAAUCCAUUUGCUUAGAGAGAUCAAGUUCCAUUUAUUUGUUUGUCUGGAUUUCCGUGGUAAACCAAAGAGGAACUGCGAUGAAGAGGAAACCAAACUCAGCCUGAGAGUGCAGAACCAUGGGUGGGAUCAGGCACUCAUUUUUGCUGCUCAUCAUCUAAAAAUCAGCUGUGGUAAAAUAAAGUCCAUUGAAAGCUUAAUUUAACUUUGCAUAUUGAAUUGUAUAUUUUGUUAUUUUUACUAUUUACAAUGAUAUACAAGGUAGGUACCUCUUCCCACUUAAAUAUUUGUUACAUUAAAAUUCCACAGAAUUGGGGUGAGAGUUUGAUAUAGCAGUUAGUGCUUAGGAAACCUGCAUCCUCUUUCAGACUGCCUGCUUUGAGUUCUGGCUCCUCUGAUCUUGAAUGAGGUUCCUGCUAAUGUGCAUUCUGACAGUCAGUAAAUGAAGGCUCAAGUACUUGGGUUCCUUCUACCCACAUGGUAGACACAAAUGGAGCUCUGGGCUCCUGACUUUGGCCUUCUAUUUGUGGGCAUUUCGAGAAUGAACCAACAGAUGGAAGAUCUUUCUCUCUCUCUCUUUCUCUCUCUCUCUCUUUCUCUCCUCUCUGCCAUUCAAAUAAAAUAAAAGUAAAUGAAUUUUUAAAAAAACCU
This 990-nucleotide long non-coding RNA is filed under the name Oryctolagus cuniculus (rabbit). RNAcentral's name for it is "lncRNA (ENSOCUG00000035310.1)". Lineage: Eukaryota; Metazoa; Chordata; Mammalia; Lagomorpha; Leporidae. The record is from RNAcentral.